GUGCCUAGGCGCUGUGGGAUCCGUGGGUGGAAAGGGUUUUGUUACCAUUUUUAGGGUCAUCAGCACCUUCUGACUGGGAAAAGAUGGUCAACGUCUUGAAAGGAGUGCUUAUAGAAUGAUUGGUGAAAACUUCCUGUUUGUUGGGAUCCACCUCUGUCGUUGACUGCCAGCCUCACACCAAGAGUUUCCCGAGUGGAGCCAACCACAGCAGUUACUGAAGCAAGCCACAUAUGCUCAGCACAUGUCUGCAUCUGAUUCCAGGUGCUCAAGCAGA
Budorcas taxicolor (takin) is the source of this 274-nucleotide long non-coding RNA. RefSeq lists it as uncharacterized. The record is from RefSeq and is a predicted model, not a curated record. Lineage: Eukaryota; Metazoa; Chordata; Mammalia; Artiodactyla; Bovidae. The transcript has 3 exons.